This is a non-coding RNA of Malus domestica (apple), 477 nucleotides long. The record is from RefSeq and is a predicted model, not a curated record. Lineage: Eukaryota; Viridiplantae; Streptophyta; Magnoliopsida; Rosales; Rosaceae.
CUCUCUCUCCUUUCUCAGACUCUCUCUCUCUCUCUCUCUCUCUCUCUCUCUCUCUCUCUCUCUCUUUCAUUCUUCUUGUACGGACAAACACCAAGGACCUCUCAAACCUCACUGAUCGAGGAAGAAAAUGGUACCAUUGUGUUUGUGAAGCCCAGACGAGUCGAUUGGUACCCAUUUCAGCUUGUAGGAAGCUCGGAGUGCUUCGUUUGAAGGUUUUAGAAGUCAGGAUAGUGUGGACGAAGUUUGGCCGAUUUUCUUGGAAUUCUCCGAUGAGACUUAUCAGGAGGACGAGCGUAUCCAGGGGCAACUCGGGGGUUACGACCAGUCGACAUAUCAGUUUUAAGUAAGCUUGCUGUUGGUGGCUUGAGGAUAUCGGCAGUUCCGAUUUAUCCAAAUAAUAGUAGGACAUUCUCGGUACUGUAUAACUAGUACUUGUCCUACUGGACUGCACCUAGACUUUAUGCUCUGAUUAAGAGU